This 494-nucleotide ribosomal RNA is filed under the name uncultured bacterium. RNAcentral's name for it is "partial 16S ribosomal RNA". It matches the Rfam family "Bacterial small subunit ribosomal RNA", at positions 28 to 507 of the family's 1533-position model. The record is from RNAcentral.
GACGAACGCUGGCGGCGUGCUUAACACAUGCAAGUCGAACGGUGAAGCGCCUCUCUUUUUGGUGGGUGUGGAUGAGUGGCGAACGGGUGAGUAACACGUGAGUAACCUGCCCCCUUCUUCUGGAUAACCGCAUGAAAGUGUGGCUAAUACGGGAUAUUCUGGGUCUGUCGCAUGAUGGGUCUGGGACAGCUAUUGUGUCGGUGGGGGAUGGGCUCGCGCCCUAUCAGCUUGUUGGUGCGGUGACGGCCUACGAAGGCUGUGAGGGGUAGCCGGCCUGGGAGGGUAGGCGGUCACACAGGGAGAGCGACACGACCGAGACUGAGACGGGAGGCAGCAGGGAAGAGUAUGGAACAGGGGGCAGAAGGGUGCAGCAGCGACGCCGCGGGAGGGAUGGAGGCCUUCGGGUUGUGAACCUCUUUGGGGAGUGAAGCAGGCCUGCCUGGUUUGUGGGUGGGUUGACGGUAGCUGGAUAAGAAGCACCGGCUAACUACGUG